Molecule: long non-coding RNA, 514 nt
Organism: Octopus sinensis (East Asian common octopus)
Lineage: Eukaryota; Metazoa; Mollusca; Cephalopoda; Octopoda; Octopodidae
Exons: 2
Source: RefSeq, a predicted model, not a curated record
CUGGGGGUCUCUAGGUUUAUCUUAUCGCUGUAUGUGAUAAAUAUGAUAUUGCUCUAGAGAUUUGACUAUUGUUAUGGUAUAAUUUAAUCUCCAAUGAAAGUAAUUAAGCUAUUGAAAAGUUACGUGAAGGGCUUGACUUCAUGCAGUAAUUCCAGAGAUAAUGUAUUUAUCAACCGUCUACCUUACCAUGCUCGCUUGUUGACGUAUUACAGGAUACUUUGACUAUUUAUAGCAGCAAACUCUAACGCCAAUAUUAUUAUGAUUAUAUAAUAUGUAUUUAAGUCAUUGUGAAUAGGAUACAAAUUAUCUUAAGCUCUAAACAUUAAGCGUCAUUACUUUUAUUUUUGUCGGAGCCUGUGAGACCAGCGUCUAACAAUUUUAUUCCGUUUACGUAGACGCCUUUAAAAUAGUUACCUCCCUUGAACGAACACUUUCCAUACCUACAUAUACUAAGAAUCGCGUAGUUCUGUGCUCUUUGCAAGGUGGUAAACUGUUUUUCUCCAGUGGAAAGGCA